This 333-nucleotide long non-coding RNA is filed under the name Gallus gallus (chicken). The record is from RNAcentral. Lineage: Eukaryota; Metazoa; Chordata; Aves; Galliformes; Phasianidae.
AAGAGAUCCUCUAUAUCCUCUACUUCGAGAUUGGCUGGUGAAGUUUCUAGAAAUUUUAGCAUUUCUUCUUUCUCUGAUUCUUGUGCUAAGAUAACAUCUUUUGCAUUGACAAGGAUGAUCAACAUUAAAAAAUAAAUAAAGAAUGGAUCUGCUUGUUGUAGAUAACCAUCCCAUAUUGCCUGAGUUACUUCGGUUGAGCAGUAAUAUGAGAAAAGGCUUCCAAGCCAGUUGAGUGCAUAUGAGUCCGGUGUCAUCUUCUUAGUAUCAAGAAAGGAGCAGAGUUCAGGCUCAUGGUACUGAAGAAGCAGCCUGAAUAAGUGAAAUGGUCUUCCC